CCUAAACUUACGUUCCCCAGUCUGUCGUCAUUGACAAUAUGCGAUUUGCCCAACUUCAAGCAUAAUACUAUAUAUUGCAUUCAUGAUGCUGCAACACCAACAUUUGAGUUAAUUAUGCCCAACUUAGAGCAUCUGACAGUAGGUAAAGAUGAACUAAAGAAGAUUGUGGAUGGAGAAUUUCAUAGAAACCUUUUAGACAAGUUAAAAGUUCUCGGUCUGUGCUUUGAUAUUGAGUGUGAUGAAUUUCCGGGGUAUAGAUUUCUACAACAGUUGCCAAAUGUAAAGAAGCUUGUGGUGUGUGACAGUUCCUUUAAAGUGAUUUUCUGCGAUCAAAG
This 335-nucleotide small RNA is filed under the name Vigna angularis var. angularis. RNAcentral describes it as "Non-protein coding transcript". Lineage: Eukaryota; Viridiplantae; Streptophyta; Magnoliopsida; Fabales; Fabaceae. The record is from RNAcentral.